UACGUAUGGUGCAAGCGUUAUCCGGAUUUACUGGGUGUAAAGGGAGCGCAGGCGGCACGGCAAGCCUGAUGUGAAAGCCCGCGGCCCAACCGCGGGACUGCAUUGGGAACUACCGGGCUGGAGUGCCAGAGAGGUAGGCGGAAUUCCUAGUGUAGCGGUGAAAUGCGUAGAUAUUAGGAGGAACACCAGUGGCGAAGGCGGCCUACUGGACGGUGACUGACGCUGAGGCUCGAAAGCGUGGGGAGCAAACAGG
This 253-nucleotide ribosomal RNA is filed under the name uncultured bacterium. RNAcentral describes it as "partial 16S ribosomal RNA". It matches the Rfam family "Bacterial small subunit ribosomal RNA", at positions 524 to 776 of the family's 1533-position model. The record is from RNAcentral.